This 505-nucleotide ribosomal RNA is filed under the name uncultured bacterium. RNAcentral's name for it is "partial 16S ribosomal RNA". It matches the Rfam family "Bacterial small subunit ribosomal RNA", at positions 30 to 523 of the family's 1533-position model. The record is from RNAcentral.
AUUGAACGCUGGCGGCAGGCCUAACACAUGCAAGUCGAGCGGCAGCGGAAAGUAGCUUGCUACUUUGCCGGCGAGCGGCGGACGGGUGAGUAAUGUCUGGGAAACUGCCUGAUGGAGGGGGAUAACUACUGGAAACGGUAGCUAAUACCGCAUAACGUCGCAAGACCAAAGAGGGGGACCUUCGGGCCUCUUGCCAUCAGAUGUGCCCAGAUGGGAUUAGCUAGUAGGUGGGGUAACGGCUCACCUAGGCGACGAUCCCUAGCUGGUCUGAGAGGAUGACCAGCCACACUGGAACUGAGACACGGUCCAGACUCCUACGGGAGGCAGCAGUGGGGAAUAUUGCACAUGGGCGCAAGCCUGAUGCAGCCAUGCCGCGUGUAUGAAGAAGGCCUUCGGGUUGUAAAGUACUUUCAGCGGGGAGGAAGGUGUUGAGGUUAAUAACCUCAGCAAUUGACGUUACCCGCAGAAGAAGCACCGGCUAACUCCGUGCCAGCCGCCGCAGUAA